AAGUUAAAUAAGGGCGUAUGGGGGAUGCCUAGGCUCUCAGAGGCGAAGAAGGACGCGAUAAGCUGCGAAAAGCUGCGGGGAUCGGCACACACGAAAUGAUCCGCAGGUAUCCGAAUGGGGCAACCCACUAGUUUGAAGAACUAGUACAUCGCAAGAUGGGCAAACCCGGGGAACUGAAACAUCUAAGUACCCGGAGGAGGAGAAAACAAUAGUGAUUCCGUUAGUAGUGGCGAGCGAAAGCGGAUUAGCCCAAACCGAUGUUGUUUCGGCAAUAUCGGGGUUGUAGGACCACGAGAUUUGGUGCGUAAUGAACUGGAACAAGUUGGAAAGCUUGGCCGUAGAGGGUGAUAGCCCCUUACAGGUAAAGACCGUUACCGAUAGUGGUAUCCUGAGUAGCGCGGGGCACGUGAAACCUUGCGUGAAUCUGGCGGGACCAUCCGCCAAGGCUAAAUACUCCUGAGAGACCGAUAGUGAACCAGUACCGUG
Molecule: ribosomal RNA, 486 nt
Filed under: Pseudo-nitzschia pungens
Lineage: Eukaryota; Bacillariophyta; Bacillariophyceae; Bacillariales; Bacillariaceae
Description: partial Bacterial large subunit ribosomal RNA
Rfam family: Bacterial large subunit ribosomal RNA
Source: RNAcentral